RNAcentral lists this non-coding RNA (26 nucleotides) under Mus musculus (house mouse). Lineage: Eukaryota; Metazoa; Chordata; Mammalia; Rodentia; Muridae. The record is from RNAcentral.
UGCCAUGAGUGAUUCCAGCAAGUUUG